This 880-nucleotide ribosomal RNA is filed under the name uncultured bacterium. RNAcentral describes it as "bacterial SSU rRNA". It matches the Rfam family "Bacterial small subunit ribosomal RNA", at positions 47 to 916 of the family's 1533-position model. The record is from RNAcentral.
CUUAACACAUGCAAGUCGAACGGAACUCCAGGGCUUGCUCUGGGGAAGAGUGGCGCACGGGUGAGUAACACGUAGGUAACGUUCCUUUUGGUUCGGAAUAACCUGCCGAAAGGCGGGCUAAUACCGGAUAAUCUCCUUGGGGGUUCGCCUCUGGGGAAGAAAGCAGGGCAACCUGCGCCGAUCGAUCGGCCUGCGUCCCAUCAGCUAGUUGGUGAGGUAACGGCUCACCAAGGCAACGACGGGUAGCUGGUCUGAGAGGAUGAUCAGCCACACUGGGACUGAGACACGGCCCAGACUCCUACGGGAGGCAGCAGUGGGGAAUAUUGGUCAAUGGGCGCAAGCCUGAACCAGCAAUGCCGCGUGAGUGAUGAAGGCCUUCGGGUUGUAAAGCUCUGUCGGGAGGGACGAAAAAAGCCGGGUCAUACCGGAACUUAACGGUACCUCCAAAGGAAGCACCGGCUAACUCUGUGCCAGCAGCCGCGGUAAUACAGAGGGUGCAAGCGUUGUUCGGAAUUACUGGGCGUAAAGCGCGUGUAGGCGGCAGUGUAAGUCGGAUGUGAAAGCCCUUGGCUUAACCAAGGAAGUGCAUCCGAUACUGCUCUGCUUGAGUGUCGGAGGGGAUGGCGGAAUUCCCGGUGUAGAGGUGAAAUUCGUAGAUAUCGGGAGGAACACCUGUGGCGAAGGCGGCCAUCUGGACGAUAACUGACGCUGAGACGCGAAAGCGUGGGUAGCAAACAGGAUUAGAUACCCUGGUAGUCCACGCUGUAAACGAUGAGUGCUAGGCGUCGUGGGUAUUGACCCCUGCGGUGCCGAAGUUAACACGUUAAGCACUCCGCCUGGGGAGUACGGUCGCAAGAUUAAAACUCAAAGGAAUUGACGG